Molecule: ribosomal RNA, 746 nt
Filed under: uncultured bacterium
Lineage: Bacteria
Description: bacterial SSU rRNA
Rfam family: Bacterial small subunit ribosomal RNA
Source: RNAcentral
CAAUCCUGAGUAAAGUGGCGUACUGGUGAGUAACACGUGGAUAUCUACCUCUUGGUGGGGAAUAACCUGGGGAAACCUGGGCUAAUACCGCAUAAGUUCGUGAGAAGAAAGGCGCAAGUCGCCGAGAGAGGAGUCCGCGGUCGAUUAGGUAGUUGGCGGGGUAAGAGCCCACCAAGCCAAAGAUCGAUAGCCGGCCUGAGAGGGCACACGGCCACACUGGCACUGAAACACGGGCCAGACUCCUACGGGAGGCAGCAGUGGGGAAUCUUGCACAAUGGGGGAAACCCUGAUGCAGCGACGCCGCGUGAGCGAUGAAGCCCUUCGGGGUGUAAAGCUCUUUCGGCAGGAACGAUAAUGACGGUACCUGCAGAAGAAGCUGCGGCUAACUACGUGCCAGCAGCCGCGGUAAUACGUAGGCAGCAAGCGUUGUUCGGAAUUACUGGGCGUAAAGAGUGUGUAGGUGGUGUCGUAAGUUUGGUGUGAAAUCUCCCGGCUUAACUGGGAGGGUGCGCCGAAGACUGCGAUGCUGGAGUAUGGGAGAGGAAAGCGGAAUUCCUGGUGUAGCGGUGAAAUGCGUAGAUAUCAGGAGGAACACCUGCGNGUGUAGACGGCUUUCUGGACCAUUACUGACACUGAGACACGAAAGCGUGGGUAGCAAACAGGAUUAGAUACCCUGGUAGUCCACGCCCUAAACGAUGCAUACUUGGUGUGAGCCAUUCAGUUGGUUCGUGCCGGAGCUAACGCGU